GGGUAUUUGAGUUUCUGUGAUGUGCUUAGUUCACUUAGCAGCAAGUCAGAAUCAUCUCCUUGUCUAAACCUGGACAACACCCCACUAUACACAGAUGCCCCAUGUUCUUCAUCCACUCCUCUGUCUGUGGACACGUUGGCUGCUUCUACCUCUUGACUCUUGAGAAUUACACAGCAGUGUACGGGGAUGCUCAUAAACUGCCUCCAAUUCUUAUGGAUAUAAAAUCUGAACUGAGUUUGUGCGAUCACAUGGUAAGUCUAUUUCUUGAUUUGGGGGGAACUCUUCACUGUGUGCUACAGCAAAUGUGCCAUUUUACAUUUUGUCCAACCAUGUGCCAGUGUUCCAAUAUCUCCAUAUCCUUGCCAGCAUAAGCUGUUUUAUGCUUUUCGGUUUUUGGAUGCUUUGGUUAUUGUUGUUGAUUGUGACCACCCUAAUGGCUGCGACAUGAUAUCUCCUUGCUGUUUCAUUUGCUUUCUGUAAUAUUAGUGGUGUUGAGCAUUUUCUCAUCAGCUUGGUGGCCAUUGUAUAUCUUUGGAGACAUGUGUAUUCAAGAUUUUUGCCCAUUUGUUAAUUGGGUAGUUUGUUUUCUUGUUGUUGUUGAAUUUUAGAAUUUCUUUACAUACUUUAGAUGUAUCAGUUAAUUCCCUAACUGAUACACAAUUCGCAAAUACUUUCCCAAUUGUGUAGUUUCCCUUUUCCCUCAGUUGAGUGUUUCUUCUGGGGCCAAUAGUUAGUAAGCUUGAAAUGGCACCACUUGUCUAUUUGGCUUUUGUUGCCUGUGCUUUUGGUGUCAUGUCCAAGACCUCACUGCCAAAUCUAAUGUCAUCGAACGUUUCUCCUGUUUUCCUGUCUCAACGUCAUAGUGUUAGGUCUUCUGUUGAGAUCAGUUAUCUAUUUCCAGUGAAUUUUUGUGUAUGGUAGAAAGGAAGGGUCCUGUUUUCUUCUUUUGUGUGUGGAUAUCCAGUCUUCAGAAGAAGUUUCUUUGAAAAGACUGUCCUGGGGCGCCUGGGUGGCGCAGUCGGUUGAGCGUCCGACUUCAGCCAGGUCACGAUCUCACGGUCCGUGAGUUUGAGCCCCGCGUCAGGCUCUGGGCUGAUGGCUCGGAGCCUGGAGCCUGUUUCCGAUUCUGUGUCUCCCUCUCUCUCUGCCCCUCCCCCGUUCAUGCUCUGUCUCUGUCUGUCCCAAAAAUAAAUAAAAACGUUGAAAAAAAAAAUUUAAAAAAAAAAAAGAAAAGACUGUCCUUUCUCCAUUGGGUGGGAUUGGCCCCUGUCAAAGAUCGUUUGGUCAUCUGUGGGAGGGUUUAUUUGGGGGCUCUCUGUUCUGUUCCUUUGGUCUACAUGUGUGUUUCUAUGGAGGUUUUGUUUCCUGUAGUUCAGAAAUAUGUUUUGAAAUUGGGAUGUGAAGCCUCCUGCUUCUCUUUUUCUAGAUUGUUCUGGCUCCUUGGGGUCCGUGGAGAUACCAUAUGAAUUGAAGGAUGAUUUUCUUCUACUUCCUGCCAAAAAUUCCAUUGAGAUUUUAAUGUGGAUAGCAUUGACUCUGUAGAUCACUUUGGGGGGUAGGGACAUUUUACCAAUAUGAAGUCUUCUGACAUAUGGUUCUGUUCCUGAUCAGGAUGGAUUUUCAAAGAAGCAGUUGCUCUAGUCCCUGCUCCUUCAGUCUCCCCAAACUCAACCCUCUGAAGGAUUCACUCACCUCUCCCACCCCACUCAGGGACUGUCUGAGCUGAUGAGAGGACAGGGUUUCCAAAGCUUCAGGUCUGGAGAUUGUGUGAGGACAUUGAAUAAGCCAGACUUUUUCUCAACUCCUUCCAAGUUUUUCUUCUCUCCGGUUUAACUAUUAAUCCAUGGGUAUCUCUUAUUCUGUAGUUGUCAUCUCUUUUCUUCUGUCACCAACUGUGCAUCACUGGUAUGUCACUAAUUCAGUUCAAUAUCUCUAGAAAUGGUAAACAUCUGCUAAGGAAACUGGGGGAUUUAGAUGGGUAUUUCCAGCAACAUGGGAACCCCAACCUGGCUCAUCUAAGAUUACUCCCUUCUCAUCAUGCAACUAACCCUUAUUCAUCCUUUUUUUAUACCUAAGAUUUUCCCUUCAGCUUUCCUGAAUCCUUUGAUUGUCCCCCAUCAACACCCCUUUAUCACUAACUGGCAAACUUCUGCUUUCCUUCUGAACUCUCAACUUCCUACUCACUAGGGCAUUAAGUCUUAACCCCUUCCUUUGUCUUCCUCUUGACCCUUGAGCAUUUGGGGAUAAAAUCGUGUAAAGCAGGGUAGGGAGUCUGUGUGUGAAACAUGAUUCAUGAUUAAGAUGGCAUAGACUUGUCAGGGCAGGAGUGUCCAGGGGCGUGAGGAGUCUAGGUGGAGGCUGACCCACCUGCUGUGGGGAGAGCAGCUAGAACCUGAAGGAUGAGGUGGGAGAGCCAUUCUUGCAGCCUUAGGGGUCAGUGUGAGAGGUGGGGAGGGGGGUUGGUGGAAAUGUGAAGAUUCUUAAAGACUCAGAGAAGCAUCCUGACACUGGGCACAAAACACUUGAUUCAGGGGGCCCAUUUUGGAGUAGACAGUCAUAAGGAUGGACACAAACCUCCAGAAGCUGGAUGGAGAGAUGUUUGUAUCUCUCAAGGGAGUUAGAUGCACACAAAGAGCUCCCAGGACACAGCAGCAUGUGGGCUAGGAUGGGAUACUAGGGAUAUGGGACAGACCACAGGACAUGCCAGCUGGUGGGGGUUCAGAGUCUGGAGAGUGUGGAGGGAUUGGACGGCACCAGGACCCCAUGGAGGCAGUGGCUUGACUGCCAGUAGCCUGGCAGAAGGGUGGAGGCUGAAUGCCUAUGAAUUAAAGAAAAAGCAAUUACUCUGAGAAGACUUUAUUUCCUCACUCAUUAUGUCUUGUACUAUGUUUGCCUGAAGACAGUUUCCAAGAUCUUCAGGUAACUUAAAAUAUUACCCUUCUGCUAAGUUAAGCUAAUUAUAGAUAUUCAUUAAAUACCUAAAUGAUUUCCAAAUGGGCUGAAACAAAGCAUAAUCACACCGUUAUGAAUAUAUUGCUUCUCUUAAUGAACAUGUCCCAUUUGCCGUGUUGUAGCAAAAGGGAUGUAUAUGUAUACAAAGGUUGGGGAGAACCCUCUUCACAACGUCUGAUAUCCUAUUCUGGUUUUGACAGUCCUUGGUUAUCCAACACUCAAAUUAUCCCUGUGAAAUAGAAGUUUCUGUAGGAAAGAUAAUAAUCCUUCCACAUGAAUGAGCCUCUGGUAGGAAAAAUCAGGGAGCAGAAAAACAACUUUGGGAGCAAAGUAUGCACUUUAUGAGCACAGUUUGUCCCCGUGUAAAAAGGCAUGCAUUGCAGCAUAGGACGGAUGAAAGUGUAGGACAGAGCCCGAAUGCACAUAGAGAGUGUGGCAAAAGGUUCAGGGUCAGGGAGUUUUAUUUGUCCUGGUUCUCUCAGGCUGAGAUUACCUGGGUUCAUGUAUAAGAGCUUUUUAUUUAUUUUAUUUUUUUUUUAAUUUUUUUUUUCAACGUUUAUUUAUUUUUUUUGGGACAGAGAGAGACAGAGCAUGAACGGGGGAGGGGCAGAGAGAGAGGGAGACACAGAAUCGGAAACAGGCUCCAGGCUCUGAGCCAUCAGCCCAGAGCCCGACGCGGGGCUCGAACUCACGGACCGCGAGAUCGUGACCUGGCUGAAGUCGGACGCUNNNNNNNNNNNNNNNNNNNNNNNNNNNNNNNNNNNNNNNNNNNNNNNNNNNNNNNNNNNNNNNNNNNNNNNNNNNNNNNNNNNNNNNNNNNNNNNNNNNNNNNNNNNNNNNNNNNNNNNNNNNNNNNNNNNNNNNNNNNNNNNNNNNNNNNUUUUUUUUUUUUUUUUUUUUUUUUUUUUUUUUGUUACAAAGACACAAGUUUUGUUGGAUGUUCGGUCUGCUUUUUUUUUUUUUUUAAUUUUUUUUUUUUAACGUUUAUUUAUUUUUGAGACAGAGAGAGACAGAGCAUGAACGGGGGAGGGGCAGAGAGAGAGGGAGACACAGAAUUGGAAGCAGGCUCCAGGCUCUGAGCCAUCAGCCCAGAGCCCGACGCGGGGCUCGAACUCACGGACCGUGAGAUCGUGACCUGAGCUGAAGUCAGACGCUUAACCGACUGAGCCACCCAGGCGCCCCCGGUCUGCUUUUAAUAAGAGGGUGUAAAAGGAAAAGAUUCUCCUCUUCUGAAUAACCUGCAGACAGCCAAAGAACGAAUCAGAAGGAGCAAAGGUGUUUCUGAUCAUGGGAAGCAAUGGGAUCCUUGCACAGGGCUGGGAGCAUGAGGAGGUACAAGUGGGGUGACGGCAUUGUACCAUAAUCACGUUCCCGGGGCUGCAACAAGGUGACCUUUUUAAAGAUUUCUUUUUUUUUCUUUUUAAUAUGAAGAGAGAAUUUCUGGAGUUCUUUUAGUACUGUGUUAGAGCAAAUAAUUGGCCCCCAAAACAUCAUGAAUUUUAUCCCUGGAUCCUGUGAAUGUCAUAUUCCCUGGCAAAGACACUGCCCGUGUGAUGGAGUUAGAGAUCGUGAGAUGGAAAGAUUAUUCUGGACUGUCCGGGUGGUCGCUCUAUGUACUCUCAAGUGUUGAGAGGGAGAGUGUGAGAGUGAGAGAGAGAGAAAGAGAGAGAGAGAAGGGAGAUUGGCCUAGGGAGAAAAACAGUAAAUGUGAGGAUAAAGCAGGGGAGAGAAGGUGGGUGAGAUGGGGAAACAGGACCCAGAAUGAGGAAAGCCUCCCAAAGCUACAAAAGAGAAGAAAACACAUUCUUCCCAAGAGUCUCAGGAGGGUACACAUAAGUACAGAUGCCUCCAUUUGGGUAGAGUGAAGUCCAUUUGGGGAUUGUAGUUUCCAGGACUGUUAAAAAAUUUAUAAACAGGUUGGAUGUUCAAUGGAGAUGACAUUGAAGACAAAACACUCAAGUUGGGGGAGCUCCUGGUCAAGUGGGGAGUCAUUAAGCUGUAUAAGCCAAGAGAACUGCAGACAGAGACUCAGGGGCUCAGGAGCUCAAGGCUUGUCAGAGGGGGCCCAGAUGAAGGAGGAACGGGCAGGAGGUGGAGGUGUGGGGGAGGUUAGAGUCCAGUGGGGGAGCAGAGUCCAGAAAGGCAGGAGGGAUUGCAGGGUGCAGGGAUCACACAGAGACCAGAGGUGAUUGCAGGGAGGAAGGGGGUUUCUGGUCUGGUUGCCUGGCUCUGGGGAUGGGGGUGGGGAGGGCACAGGGUCGAGGGAUCCUGCUUUGGAUAGGGAGGGCCAGGGUUUCCCAAGGUCCAGAUCAGACCAGGAUGAGAUGCCUUUAUCUGGCAUUCAAACCAGUUUCAGCAUUGCUCAGGAUUGUUCUAGAAAAGUAAAAUGUCCGCUUCCUUCCCUGAGGAACCUUCACCUCAUCAACUCAUUAUCAAGGUCCUCCAGGAGAAUUUUGUGUAACUGAAAGGCAUGGGGUGACUAGUUUGCAGGUCACAGGGAGGACAGGAGAGGGUCAGGAAGGGGACUGAGGCCAGGUGACUUGACAGUGGUCAGAGCCUGGAUGCAAUGGAGAAAAGGGGGAAGAAUCUGCAGUGCCCUGGAUGACUGGGGGUCCAAUUGAAAGGGGAGGGGGCAACACUCUAGGGUUCAGAGCAUUGAGCAGCCAGUUUUAUUCUUUCGUUCAUACAAGGGCCUUUCUACCAGCAUUUGCUUUUAAAACUCUCAACCAAAGAGCCCACAGAAUUUCUGUGUUUGUCACCAAGGGCAGCUUGGAAGUGAAACCAGUCUUGGGAUUCCCAAAGUGUGCAUGAAAUCACCGCACAAAGGCUUUGACCAUCAGGAGUGGGGAGGAGCAGCUUUCACAGCUGCCAGACAGGUUGCAGAGCAUAUUUGAAGACCACUGGGUGGGGGUCUCCAAGGGAGCAGAGCGGCUCCUCGGGACAGCCCAGUCCCCUGUCUGGUUGUUGGUGAGGGACCUGGGAUCAUGAGGGCUGAGUUGGAGGCUGCUAUUUCCAAGCUCUGCUUGGAACGAGAAGCCUGAAGCACCAGAGGAGUGCAGGCUCCACAUCCCCAGGUCAGCCCCAGGACUUCCCGGGUUCCCCAGGGAGGGUUGUUCCCCUCAUACCCUUUCCCCCUCCAUGAGGUCUCAACUGACCAGAGUGGGGAGGUCUGGGAGCCUUCUGAGUUUCACCACCACCUCCCCACUUCAACUUGAGUCCCCUGCAACAUGAGUUUUGGGGGCCCCGCUCUUUCCUCCAGCUCAGACUUCAAUGCAGCUGGCUCUCCUCUGGCCAGUUUUGGGUACAUGCCCUGCAACUGGCUAAGGCGCCUUCAGCCAACUGCUGGUUUGUACUUCUCUCACCUUGAACUUCUCCUGGGGAGAUGAGACAUGCCAAAGCCCCCUUGGGAUCCUUAGCCCCAGAGUUUCAGCCUUGGGAACCGUCCUCCACCCCCAUCCUUCCCUCAGCAAAUCUCACCCAAGCUGCAGAUCCCCUCUCCCUUUCCAUCCCACCCCAUCCCACAGAGCUGUCUUUGUCAUCACAAUCACUGAGAUUUUUCCCUACCUCCUCCUUGGGUUGUGGCCACAGACCCUGCGCCACACAGGAGAAAGAGGUCAGCUUAGAACCAGGUAGUAAGUUUCCAGAUACUCCUCUUGUUGAUAAUAAGUUUAUUUGGUCAGUCGUGUCGAACAAAAGAAACUGAGGGUGCAAAAAGCAAAACAAAUAUUCACUUCAAGUAUUUGGACACAGAUUUUAGAGGAACUGGAAAUUUUCUCUGAGGCAGGUGGAGAAAGAGUUGAUAAAGGUAACCGCCCCCCACCCCCCAGCCUGUAGAAGUUCUUCUGAAAGAGAUCUGAAUGACACAGCAUAAACAAUGAAUUUUAAUAUUUGUAGGUUAAAUUUAUUUUUGUAAAUUAAAUUUAAUAUUUGUAGAUUAAGAUUUGUAGCAACUACUAUCCUGGUACUAGCUGGAUGGAAUUCCGCAAAGCAAGCUCUCUUCUGAGAAUGGCGGCCAGAUGUAGCCCUUUUUGAUUGGCACAGGCUGGUCAUGUGACAUCCAGAUGUGGGCGGGCAUAGGCCCAACUUCAGCGGUGAUCUCCCGGCUCCAUGUUGGAUCUCCUUAACAUUGUGAUUCCAUUUCCUUGUUUCAGUUCACAGUUGUGUUGUGAGCCAGUGUUCUUUGUGAGUCCGGUAUAAGGGGCCAGAUGACAACUCACGGAGAGAGCUGAGCACACAUACAAGCUCCACUGGAUGUAGAUAAGCUAGGAAGUUAUUAUCUUCUUCUCUAGAUAACAAGUAUUUCCCCAGAGAGCUCAGAUUGCAUAGCUGUAACAGUAGCUAAACCACAACCACAGCUGUGGGUUUAGAAAACAUCUUGCGUCGAAAGCAAUAUGGCAUAUUUAGCAAGAACCUUCCAACAUUCAGCUUGCAGACACGGGAAGCAAGAUUGCGCAGGGCAUAAGUAAGGAUAGUCUUCAACAGAAAAUGGCACAGCAUGUUUGACCAACCUGUGUCGUUGCACUGGUUCUCCAGAAAUGGCACGGGCAACUCCAGGAUAUACAUUCUUAUGUUGUUCAGGACAAAGGUGGCUACAACGUUCGCAAUUAAUUCCAUGACGCGAAGUUGAUACUAAACGUGACUGAAUUGCUAUAGGACAGAAGGAGUGUGCUCUUCUCUGUUUCGUUCCCAAAAUUUUGUCUCGCAUAGAGAUCCAGCCUUUUAUAAUUACUGGAAUGAGUCAUUCUCUGACGUCACACUCUUAACGAAAGAGGGGCUCCUGGCCAAUGAGAUUGUAACAUGUGUCUCAGCAGCCAGUACCUUUGUGCGGUAUAAAAGAACCAUUUCUCACAACAGAAGGCACGUGUCAGACGCUACCUUGCAAUCUGCAUACCAGCAGAGUUACCGAGAGGCCUAAAUCUGAUUCUUGGUGCUCCAGAUCUUCUGUAAAGGAGUAGCUCUGUUUAUGUUUUCAGGAACCUUGCAGUUCUCCAAUGUUCCAAUGGAGCUCCCUCUCCUCUAGCCUAGGGAAUGUGUAUGGGAGGAAAUUAAUGCAAUGGUGCAAUUUUCUGGCCCCUUUCAAGAUUUCCUGACAGUGUGUUCAUCCCAGGGACCACUGUCAUCUUCCUUCAUCCUGCCCUGCUGACCACAUGCUUCGCUGUACUGCCCUUGCUUCAGUCAGUAGCUUCAGAAAUGGCCAGGUUUUCUGAGAUACCCCUGGGAAUUUUAAUGGCUACAUGGGGCACCUUGGGAAUUGCAAGCAGGCUCCUUUGAAACCCCCUCCUCUGCCACCUUUCUGUUCCUCCUUCCUCCUGUUUUGCCCUUUGACUUUCCCUUCAGUCCCUUGGAUCCCUUUUUUUUUUUUUUAAUUCUUUUUUUUAUUUAAAAAAUUUAAAUUAUUUUUCUGUUUUAUUUUGAGAGAGAGAGAGAGAGAGUGAGAGAGCAAGGGGGUAGGGGCAGAGAGAGUGGGAGACAGAAUCUCAAGCAGGCUCUGCGCUGUCAAUGCAGAGCCAGUUGGGCUCAAACUCACUGUGAGAUCAUGACCUGAGGCAAAACCAAGAGUUGGACGCUUAACGGACUGAGCCACCCAGGUUCCCAUCCCUUGGAUCCUUAGAUGUGUCCCCCUUCAACACCUUCACCUCCUCUAGCCCUCUGUCUACACCUCUGAGACCUUCCCCUUCCCACUAGGACUCCUCUGCUGUGACAGUCUCUGGGGCUUCGUUGUGCUGCCCCCAUCAUGGUCAUUCAAGGGACUCAAGGACCCCACCUGAGGCUGUGCAGCUCCACGAAGUGGGCUGGAUAUUAUGUCCCUGGGACAGGUUAUGGAGACACUCAGAUGGCUGGCUGCUUGGUUUGUCCUCAGUCUCUUCCUGCAGUUUCAUCCAGAGCCUCCAUUGGCUGACACGUGUGGGCACAGGACAUCUUCUGAGUCCCCUCCACAAAGAUUGAUAGGAGUGCUUCAGGCCUCUUCUUGAGCAGGUGACCUCAACUUGCCCAGUCCCCUGGCACCUGCUCCUGGUCAGGAGGUCAAGGUGAGGAAAGAGUGAGAGCCAGGACUUUCUACUAGGAAGUUGUCUUCGUUGAACAGAUGCUCUAAGCACUCUUGUUGCAUCUGUCUCUCUGAUGAGUGCGUAAGGACCGAGAAAAGGUCAACUGAGGCACAUUCAUAUUUUCAAGAGUUUACCUGAGCAUAUAGAGAUUGGAAUUGGGCAGAGCCAGAGCACAGAUGGCCAGAGGUACUCCAAGAACAGGAGCCAGGCCAAAGGUUUUUCUAAAGAAGAGCUGGAAGCAAAGCAAUGACAUAGUUUGAUUGGCUAUGGCUGGAGCUUUGGUCUUCUUUGGGCAAACCAAGUUGGCCGUCUGUGCUUGGCUUCCCAGUUUUCUCUUCUGGGGUGGGGGUGCUCUGACCCUAGCUCAGGUUUUGGUUUGGUUGUGUAGGCCACCAAGGUGUUAGAGCCACCUCAGUCUGCUGUUGGCUUGUUUAAUUACAUUAGCAGAGUGUAUGUGUCCUAUGUGUAAUAUGUGCCCUCCUUUGCCUGGUGGUACUAGAUGAGUCCCUACAAUUCCUGAGAGUCUCUAUUGUAAAGGCUAUAGAGAAAAAUAAGUGAAUAUUUGUAAAAAUGUCCUUAGGUGGGGGCGCCUGGGUGGCGCAGUCGGCUAAGCGUCCGACUUCAGCCAGGUCAUGAUCUCGCGGUCCGUGAGUUCGAGCCCCGCGUCAGGCUCUGGGCUGAUGGCUCAGAGCCUGGAGCCUGUUUCCGAUUCUGUGUCUCCCUCUCUCUCUGCCCCUCCCCUGUUCAUGCUCUGUCUCUCUCUGUCCCAAAAAUAAAUAAAAAACGUUGAAAAAAAACUUAAAAAAAAAAAUGUCCUUAGGUGAAGGAAAGUGAAUGAAUUCUGACAAAACAUUAUUUCAAUAGCAAUGGUAUCUUGUCAUAUGUCAAUGUGAAAAUGAUCUGUAUCUCUUGGUAGUUUAUAGACUUGUACUAUGCCAAGUUAAGUGAAAUACUGACCAGUCUGUAAAUACCUAGAUGAAUCCUAAGUAAGUGAGCACACUAAAUAUUAGUCACCACAAACAGUUUUCAGGCUACAAGCACUUUUGUGCCUGUUAAUCUGUUAAUGAAUGUGUUCAUUUUUGCCAAACUGAGAAUUACUAAAAGGACUUCUUUGCUUAUAAGUAUGUGUGGUAUGUCUGUCCAUGUGGUAUGCUUCAAAAUGCUGGGCAUUUGAACAUGGUCCAUGUUCUUUUUUUUUUUUUUUUGCAAAAAAUAAAUUUAAUCAUGCGAUGUUUAAAUUAAAUGGAAUGUCUGAUUGGAUGGGGGCCUCCAAAUGUGGGGAGAUGAUUGGGUGGAAGCCAAUAACCCGGGUGGUAACAGAAUUCAUUCAAGGUGAAAGAAAAGAGAUAGAAGUUUACUGAAUAUACUGCAAGGGAUUGGUGGGCAGGAUAGUGGAGGAGAGGCUGUUUGCAAGGAGGCACUGGGUGGGGGCCAUAUUUAAAGCAGGAAGGUGAGGAGGUAUGGGACAUAUGGAAUUUUCCCUUUCUUCGUAACUGUGCCUGGCUGUAAGUAGCCCAUUGGUCAGUUAGGGCUUAUGAUUGUUUUGAGGUGGGUCACCCAAUAGGCCUGUUUGUAUUUAGCCAGGGGGGUCACUGUGGGCCCUUUCUGCAGUCCAUCGCGCAAACCUGUUUUCCUAAAAGUGCCUCUACAAAUCAUAUUUGCCAGUUACACUACCAGGAAUACACAGUAAAAAAAAAAAAAAAUACACGGAAGCGGGGGCAGAUACUUACAAUGGGGCAAAACCCCAAGUGAAACAGAAACAUGACUUGAAAAUUCUACUAUACAUUAUUUGGGCAUGGCAACUACUGAAAACUUUGUCUUUUGAUGAUGAUCUUGCUGACACUAAUAGUUUCACCUUUGUCGAUGAUUGUGAUUCUGAUGAUGAUGACAACAGGGAUAUUCUAAGAGCAUUUUAAAGAGCUUUCUUCUGGGGCGCCUGGGUGGCUCGGUUAAGCAGCCAAUUUCAGCUCAAGUCAUGAUCUUGCGCUCAUGAGUUCGAGCGCUGCAUUGGGCUCCGUGCUGACAGCUCAGAGCCUGGAGCCUGCUUUGGAUUCUGUGUCUCCCUCUCUCUCCAACCCUUCCAUGCCCAUUCUCUGUCUCUCUCUCUCUCUCCCCAAAAUAAAUAAUAAACAUUAUAAAAAUUUUGAAGAGCUUUCUUCUGUCAUCUUCAUAGUAUAUACAGGUAGCAUGGUAUAUAUCCACUUAUGUGCUACUUUCUUUUCACUGAGCUUUCGUGAAGUUGCAGAAAUGACACUGCCUGAAUGACAGGCAGGAUUCAGGGGUCUACUCGUUAUCUGCCAAAACCGUGUGUGGCUUAGGCACAGUCAUCUGUCUUUCAGAUUCUUUUUUGUCCUACAGGAAAAUAAGAUAUUGCAACAGAGGUUACUUUUUUUGUCCUUUUCAGGUCUAUUAGAAAAUUUAUGCAGAAUGACUGCACAGUAAGAUCUGUACUAUAUGAAUCCAAGGAAAUGCUUAUUCUGACUAAAAUAUUUCCUCAAAUCUGAUCUAUGCUCUUUGUGAAACUCCCAACAGUACCAUGUCUCAUGCACAGAGUCAACAGGCCUCUUCACUGCAUUGCUGAAUAUUUUCAAGAUGAAAAGCUUGUUGAAUCCAAAACAGUGAAAGUAGUAAUGUGAAAGUAAAGUGAAAAGCAACAUAGGUCUUUGAGGGAGAAAUCAGUGCUCGUGGUGUUGGCUUUAAUGAUGUGGAGAAUAAAGGCAAAAAGAAAUGUAGAUAAAAUUAGAUUUCCUUACAGCUCACAGCCCUCUAACAAGUCCCUGGGACAGACAGAGUGACUUUCCUGGAGGAACUCAGCUACCUUGCCGUCAACACUUUGCUCAGGGCAAAAGGAAACCUCAGCUUGACAUUGUCCCGACCCCCCAGGAUCCUGUGAAUCUACUCUAAACAUAUAGAAAUUCCUUUGGAAACUUGCUUUAUCUUUCCUCCCCAAAAUAUAUGUUAGCAAUCAUCCUCCAAGCAUAUGGCCCCCUGAUAUACAUCCGAAGGGUUUCAUGACUAAGGGUUUACUAGACAGCAGUAAAUGACCUUUUCCUAACAGCAGCUAGCCCCUCAAGGUCCUGGAAACCUGGCUUGAAAAAUUCCUUAGAGACUUAUACUAUCCCUAACCCCCUCCCAACCUGAAGGUAUGUAAUCAGUCACUCGUCACACUCCAAGUGCAACUCUCUUUUUUGCCCCUGGGUCCUGUCCCUGUGCUUUUUUUGUUUUUAAUUUAAGUUAGUGAAUAGUGUAGUCUUGGCUUCAGGAGUAGAACUCAGUGAUUUAUCUCUUAUAUACAUUUGUGCUCAUCCCAAAAAGUGCCCUUCUUAAUGCCCAUCACCAAUUUAACCCAUCCCCACACCAACCCCCCUUCCAGAAACCCUCAGUUUGUUCUCUGUAUUUAAGAGUCUCUUAUGGUUUGCCUCUCUGUUUUUAUCUUAUUUUUCUUUCCUUCCUGUAUGUUCAUCUGUUGAGCUUCUCAAAUUCCACAGGAGUGAAAUCAUAUGAUACCUUUCUCUGACUGACUUAUUUUGCUUAGCAUAAUACCCUCUAGUUCCAUCCACCUUGUUACAAAUGGCAAGAUUUCAUUCUUUUUCAUCACCAAGUAGUAUUCCAUUGUGUACAUAUUUGCGACAUUUUCUUUAUCCGUUCAUCAGUUGAUGGACAUUUGGGCCCUUCCCAUAACUUGGCUUUUGUUGAUGGAGGUUGCUAUGAACAUUGGGGAGCAUGUGCCCCUUCAGAUCAGCAUUUUUGUAUCCUUUGGAUUAAUUCCUAGUAGUGCAACUGCUGGGUUGUAGGAUAGUUCUAUUUUUCAUUUUUUGAGGAACCUCCAUACGGUUUUCCAGAGUGGCUGCAGCAGUUUGCAUUCCCACCAACAGUACAAAAGGGUUCCCCCUUCUCCGCAUCCUCACCAGCAUCUGUUGUUGCCUGAGUUGUUAACUUUAGCCUUUCUGACAGGUGGUAUCUCAAUAUGGUGGUGAUGAGUGAUGUUGAGCAUCUUUUCAUGUGUUGGUUGGCCAUCUGGAGGUCUUCUUUGGAAAAGUGUCUAUUCAUGUCUUCUGCCCAUUUCUUCACUGGAUUAUUUGUUUUUUAGGUGUUGAGUUUGGUGAGUUCUUUAUAGAUUUUGGAUACUAACCUUUUAUCUUAUGUGUCAUUUGCAAAUAUCUUCUCCCAUUAUGUCAGUUGCCUUUUACAUUUGUUGAUUCUUACCUUUGCAGUGCAGAAGUUUUUUAUCUUGAUGAGGUCCCAAUAGUUCAUUUUUGCUUUUCUUUCCCUUGCUUUCAGAGAUGUGUCGAGUAAGAAGUUGCUGUGGCGGAGGUCAAAGUGGUUGCUGCCUGUUUUCUCUUGCAGGAUUUUGAUGGUUUCCUGUCUCCUGUUUAGGUCUUUCAUCCAUUUUGAAUUUAUUUUUGUGUAUGAUGUAAGAAAGUGGUCCAGGUUCAUUUUUCUGCAGGUUGCUGUCCAGUUCUCUCAGUACCAUUUGCUAAAGAGACUGUCUUUUUUUCCGUUGGAUGCCCUUUCCUGCUUUGUGGCAGAUUAAUUGGCCAUAUGUUUGUGGGUCCAUUUCUGGGUUCUCUAUUCUAUUGCAUUGAUCUAUGUGCCUGUUUUUGUGCCAAGACCAUACUGUCUUUGAUGAUUACAGCUUUGUAAUACAGCUUGGAGUCUGGAAUUGUGAUGUCUCCAGCAUUGCUUCUCUUUUUCAACAUUACUUUGGCUAUUCAGGAUCUUUUGCAUUUCCAAACAAAUUGUAAGAUUGUUUGUUCUAGCUCUGUUAAGAAUGCUGGUGUUAUUUUUACAGGCAUUGCUUUGAAUGUGUAGAUUGCUUUGGGUGAUACUGACGUUUUAACAAUAUUUCUUCUUCCAACCCAUGAGCAUGGAAUGUUUUUUUAAUCUUUUUGUGUCUUCUUCAAUUGUUUUCAGAAGCUUUCUAUAGUUUUCAGCAUACAGAUCUUUUACCUUUUUGGUUAGGCUUAUUCCUAGGUAUUUUAUGCUUUUUGGUGCAAUUGUAAAUAGGAUCGAUUCCUUGAUGUCCCUUUCUGCUGCUUCGUUAUUGGUGUAUAGAAAUGCAACUGAUUUCUGUACACUGAUUUUAUAUCCUGGAACUUUGCUGAAUUCAUGAGUCAGCUCUAGCAGUUUUUUGGUAGAGUCUUUAGGGUUUUCCAUGUAGAGCAUCAUGUCAUCUGUGAAGAGUGAAAGUUUGACUUCUCCUUUGCCAAUUUGGAUGCCUUUUAUUUCUUAUUUCUCUUUGUUGUCUGAUUGUGGAAGCUAGGACUUCUAGGACUAUGUUGAACCACCGUGGUGAGAAUGGACAUCCCUGUCGUGUUCCUGAUCUCAGGGGGAAAGCUCUCAGUUUUUCCCCAUUGAGGAUGAUAUUAGCUGUGGGCCUUUCAUAUAUGGCGUUUAUGAUGUUAAGGUAUGUUCCUUCUAUCCCGACUUUCUUGAAAGUUUUUAAUUUUUUAAUGUUUAUUUAUUUUCGAGAGAGAAAGAGAGACAGAGUAUGAGUGUGGGAGGUGCAGAGAGAGAGGAGACACAGAAUCUGAAGCAGACCCCAGGCUCUGAGCUGUCAGCGUAGAGCCUGAUAUGGGGCUGAAACUCAUGAACUGUGAGAUCAUGACCUGAGCUGAAGUCGGAUGCUCAACUGACUGAACCACCCAAGUGCCCCUCUUGAGAGUUUUUAUCAAGAAAGGAUGCUGUAUUUUGUCAAAUGCUUUUUCUGCAUCUAUUGAAAAGAUCAUUUGGCUCUUAUCCUUUCUUCUAUUAAUGUGGUGUAUCACAUUGAUUGAUUUGUGAAUAUUAAACCAGCCUGGCAGCCUAGGAAUGAAUCCACUUGAUCAUGGUGAAUAAUUCUUUUAAUGUACUGCUGAAUUCAGUUUGCUGUUAUCUUGUUGAGAAUUUUUGCAUCCAGGUUCAUCCAGGAUAUGGGCCUGUAAUUCUCCUUUUUAGUGGGGUCCUUGUCAGGUUUUGGAAUCAAGGUAAUGCUGGCUUCAUAGAAUGAGUUUGGAAGAUUUCUUUCUAUUUCUAUUUUUUGGAAUAGUUUGGGAAGAAUAGGUAUUAAUUCUCCUUAAAUGUCUGGUAGAAUUCCCGUGGGAAGCCAUCUGGCCCAGACUCUUAUUUGUUGGGAGAUUUUUGAUUACUAAUUCAAUUUCUUUGCUGGUUAUGGGCCUGUUCAGAUUUUCUGUUUCUUCCUGUUUUAGUUUUGGCAGUGUGUGAGUGUCUAUAAAUUUGUCCAUUUCUUCCAGAUUGUCCAAUUUUGUAAUUUUUCAUAGUAUUCUUUAAUAAUUGUUUGUAUACCUCUGGUGUUGGUUGUGAUCUCUCCUCUUCCAUUAAUGAUUUUGUCUAUUUGGGUCCUCUGUCUUUUCUUUUUGAGAAGUCUGGCUAGGCGUUUAUCAAAUUUAUUUAUUCCUUCAAAAAACAAGUUAUUAGUAUCAUUGAUCUGUUCUAAUGCUUUGUUUUGUUGUUUUGGAUUCUAUAUUGUUUAUUUCUGCUCUAAUCUUUAUUAUUUCCCUUCUCCUGCUGGCUUUGGGCUUUAUUUACUGCUCCUUUUCUAGCUCCUUUAGGUGUAAGGUUGGGUUGUAUAUUUGGGACCUUCUUGCUUCUUCAAUUGCAAUGUAUUUUCCUCUUAGGACUGCCUUUGUUGCAUCUGUAAGUGUUUGGACUGUCAUGUUUUCAUUUUCAUUUGCUUCCAUGUAUUUUUUAGUUUCUUCUUUAAUUUCCUGGUUAACCCUUUUAUUCUUUAGUAGGAUGUUCUUUAACCUCGAUGUAUUUAGGGGCUUUCCAAAUUUUUUCUUGUGGUUAAUUUCAAGUUUCAUAGCAUUGCGGUCUGAAAGUCUGCAUGGUAUGAUCACAAUCUUUUUGUACCUGUUGAGGGCUAUUUUGUGACCCAGUAAGUGAUCUAUUCUGGAACAUGUUCCAUGUGCACUUGAGAAGAAUGUGUAUUCUGCUGCUUUAGGAUGAAAUGUUCUGAAUAUACCUGUUAAGUCCAUCUGGUCCAAUGUGUCUUCAGAGCCAUUGUUUCCUUGUUGAUUUUCUGCUUAGAUAAUCUGUCCAUUUCUGUAAGUAGAGUAUUAAAGUCUCCUACAAUUAAAAUAUUAUUAUCAAUAAAUUUGCUUAGGUUUUUGUUUAAUUGGUUGAUAUAUUUGGGCUACUAAAUACUUACAGUUGUUAGCUCAUCUUAAUUAUGAUAUAAUGCUCUUCUUUAUCUCUUGUUACAGUCUUUGUUUUAAAAUCUAGUUUGUCUGAUAUAGGUAUGGCUACUCUGGCUUUCUUUUGAUGCACAUUAGCAUGAUAGGUGGUUCUCCAUUCCCUCAGUUUCAAUCUGCAGGUGUCCUCAGAUCUAAAAUAAGUCUCUUAUAGGCAGCAUAUAGAUAGAUUUUGCAUUUUUUUUAAAUUUCUUUCAAUGUUGGGGCGCCUGGGUGGCUCAGUCGGUUAAGCGUCCGACUUCAGCCAGGUCACGAUCUCGCAGUCCGUGAGUUCGAGCCCCGCGUCGGGCUCUGGGCUGAUGGCUCAGAGCCUGGAGCCUGUUUCCGAUUCUGUGUCUCCCUCUCUCUCUGCCCCUCCCCCGUUCAUGCUCUGUCUCUCUCUGACCCAAAAAUAAAUAAAAAACGUUGAAAAAAAAUUAAAAAAAAUUUUCUUUUAAUGUUUAUUUUUGAGAGAAAGUGUGAGGGGGGGAGAGGCAGAGAGAGAGAGAGAGAGAGAGAGAGAGAGAGAGAAUAUGAAUCAGGCUCCGAGCUGUCAGCACAGAGCUCAACACAGGGCUUGAACUCAUGAACCAUGAGAUCACAACCCAAGCCAAAGUCAUACACUUAACCUGCUGAGCCACCCAGGCACCCCUUGUUGUUUUUAUAAGUCAAUUCUGAUACUUUAUGACUUUUGUUUGGGGCAUUUAGUCCAUUUACAUUCAGAGUGGUUAUUGAAAGAUAUGAACUUAGUGCCAUUGUGUUAUCUGUAGAAUUCAUGUUUGUGGCAAUGUUCUCUUUGUAGUCUUUGCUGCUUUCCACUCAUAGAGUUCCCUUAGGAUCUCUUGCAGGGAUGGUUUGGUGAUCAUGAACUCCUUUAGUUUUUGUUUGUCUGGGAAAGCCUUUAUCUCUCCUUCUAUUCUCUUCUAGCUUCUAUCUCUUCUUCUAUUCUGAAUGACAGCCUUGCUGGAUAAAGAAUUCUUGGCUGCAUAUUUUUCCUAGUCAGCACACUGAAUAUUUCCUGCCACUCCCUUCUGACCUGUCAAGUUUCAGUGGACAGGUCUGCUACUAACCUUAUGUGUCUACCCUUGUAGGUUAAUGACCUUUUGUACCUAGCUGCUUUCAGAAUUCUCUCUUCAUCUUUGUAUUUUGCCAGUUUCACUAUGACAUGUCAUGGUGUUAACUAGUUUUUACUGAUUUUCAGGGGAGUUCUCUGUGCCUCUUGUACUUAGAUGCCUGUUUCCUUCCUCAGAUUAGGGAGGUUCUCAGCUACAAUUUGUUCAAAUAAACCUUCUGCUCCUUCUUCUUACUCUUUUUCUUUGGGACUCUUGUCAUAUGGAUAUUGUUCCAUUUCAUGGAAUCACUUACCUCUGUAAUUCUCUUCUCAUGAUCUAGUAAUUUAUUUUCCCUCUUUUUUUUCAGCUUCAUUAUUUUACACAAUUCUAUCUUCUAUUUCUCCUCUGCUUCUUUAAUCCCUGCUGUCACUGUAUCUAGUUUAUUUUGCAUCUCAGCUAUAACAUUUUAGAAUUCAUCCUGACUAGUUCUUAGGUCUUUGAUCUCUGCAGCAAGGGUUUUUCUGGUGUCUUCUAUGUGUUUUUCAGGCCCAUCUGACAGUCUUUAGACUGUUACUCUAAAUUCUUGUUCAGUAUAUUGUUUAUAUCUGUUUUGAGCAACUCUCUGGCUGUGGUUACUUCUUGACCUUUCUUUUGGGGAGAAUUCUUCCAUCUUGUCACUCUGGCUUAGUUUCUUUCUUUUGCAUGUUUUAUUUUUUCUUUUGCAUGUUUUAAAAGCUUGUUAUGUGUCCUACACCUGAGAGUACUACCAUAUUAAAAAGGGGUCAUACACUGUGCAGGGCCUGGUCUUCCAGGAAGUGUUUCUGGUGUAUUCUGUGUGCACUCUGUUGUGUUUUAGCUGCUCUUUCCCAUUGGUCAGUUCUCUGCAGAGCUUCUCCUUGCCUUUAUUGGUGGAGUGUUUGGACUUUUAACUGGGUGUGCUUUGAUUUGUUUGUUGAAGUAACCCUGGAAAAAAGGGAGGGGAGCCUGAUCCCUAAAAAGAGAGAAAGGGAAGAGGAGAAAAUAAAACCAAACUGAGAAUGAAAAAAAGAUAAGGCUAAUUCCAGAGAAACAGAGGAAAAUAAAGAAGAAGGAAGAGAAAAGAUGGAAAAAGAAUAGAAUAAAAAUACCUGAUUUUAUAUAUGUAUAUAUAUAUAUAUAUAAAUAUUUAAUAUACUAUAUUUAAAUAUAUAUUUAAAAUAUAUAUUUAAUAUAUAUAUAGUAAAACCUUGAAAUUUCUUGAAUAUAUAUAUAAAACCUUGAAAUUUCUUGAAUAUAUAUAUAUAAAAUAUAUUUAAAAUAUAUAUAUAUAUAGUAAAACCUUGACAUUUCUUGAAGGCUCAUGGAUUCUCAGAAUGAUGCAGGAGCAGGGGCUUGACUUUGAAAUCCCUGCUUCCAUUAGCACAAAACAAAAGGGUGAGAUGGUCUUUCAUGGGUUUGUGACCAGGCAUUGCAUUCUCUUCUUCUGUAAUGUAGGUCCUCUUUGGCAUCUUUUUCCAAAAAAGCGCUGUCUCAUCACAGUUAAAAACUCUCUUCGAUAGGUAACACUUGGAAACCAUGAGCUUCUGGAACUUGGUAGCAAACACUUCAGCUGCCUCAGAUUCUGAACUCGCAGCCUCUCCAUGCCUCACAACACUAUGGAUGCCACCUCCCCUCUUAAACUUACCAAACCAUCUCCUGCUUGCCUUGAUGACUUCUUCAUUUUCUGUUGAUGUAACUGGCAGUUUACUUAUGAGGGUGGUGUACAAGGUCUUUGCUUUCUCGAAGAUAAAGUUCUCGGUCACAGUCCUUUUACUGCAUCUAGUUCACUUAUUUAUUCUUUUGUCUUUAAUAUUGUGCAAAUGGUUGAUGUAGACUUCUUAUAAAAUCUUGCAAUUUUGGCCACUUGCGUACCUCAUUCAUACUUCUCAAUGAUUUCCUUCUUAACUUCCACCACAAUCAUCACCUUCUUCUUACUGUCUUUGUUUUCAACCUUUUUCUGCAUGAGGGCCAUUGUAUAUGCUCGCACAGAUGUUGACUAUGGUACAGUGUUAAUGAACACUGUGUUAAUGAACGCAGUGAAUAAACUGUAUUUAACAUAACUGGCAAUAAGGCAGCAGAGGAAAGUGUCAAUAUCUGCAGGCAGCCUGACCUAGAAUGAAGCAAAGCCUUCCUAAGCUUACUCUUGUAUGGAAAAGCAAAGACUGUCCAUAGGUGCUUUGAGGUGACAAAAAAUACACUAGUGCCUUCCAACAUUCUCAAAAAUCACUGAUUUCUGCCAAAAUCCAUGACCUGCAACCAAGCAUGCAAGCAUGGGAGACGAUCACCCACAAUCCUGCAGUGAGAGAGAGAGAGAGCCAGAGAGAGAGAGGAUUCAUCGAUUGAUUAUUGACUGGGUUUGGAGUAUUGCUUGUACUUUCUGUUCUGUUUUCUGGAAAGAAGGAACCCUGGUGUUUUUGCUCUUAGGCUAUCUAGAGCUCAUUAAACAUAGAGAGUCAGAUCUAGACACUUAAACAUUAUGAAGACAUCUGUAGCAGACCAGAACACUUCUUUAUUUUUAAAUCAAUGGGUAGGUGUAAAUAAUCGUUGAUCAGUUAAACAUGGUGAAUGAACACCCAUUAUUCUGAUCUUAAACCAGCGGGGCCAAAUUGACACAGUUCAAAACAUUUAACACUAAUGAAAACAUCAGAUUUCUCCUUCCUUAGAUCUACGAGGCAGCAAAACAGAUUGGUUUUUCAGUCAACAAGGUUUUAUAGAUUUCUACAAAGAAAUAGUGAAGAAAAAGCUGAACUCUACAAGUGAAAUGCCAGCUAGUAAAGUAGAGGAAAUGGUACAGUGAGCUGUUUGGUCACCUCCAAGAUUUAACCGAUGUGAACAUUUAGAUAUUGGCUUCAGAUCUCCCUUUUUGAGAAAAGAGGCAAAAUGUUACAUAAAAUCAGACACCAGCUCCUCCUCCCUUGCUGCCCUCUUUCCCCAGAGGUAAUGACUUGCUGUAGGGAGAGGGCUUUAUCCUAUGCCUGAGACUUUUAAUAGCUGUUUGAUUGAUCCUUUUUACACGAUUGUAUUCACCAAUAACAUGUAAUAUAGCUUUUUUAAAAAAAUUACGUAAAUGAGUCAUAAACUAAGUAUUUUUUGUCCUAGGAUUAAAAAAAUCCUGAGUCUUUUUUACAUACAGCAUUGUUGUUCUAUGUAAUCUCCUUCAUUUUAUUUAUUUAUUUAUUUAUUUAUUUAUUUUUUAAUGUUUAUUUUUGAGAGAGAGAGAGAGAGUCGGGAAGGGGCAGAGAGAAAAGGAGACACAGAAUCUGAAGCAGUCUCCAGGCUCUGAGCUGUUAGUCGAGAGCCCAAUGUGGGGCUCAAACUCACAAGCUGCAAGAUCAUGACCUGAGCUGAAGUUGGACACUCAACCGACUGAGCCAAUGAGGUGCUCCUAAUCUCCUUCAUUUUAACUGCUGGGUAGGAUCCCACCUGAGGAAUAAGGCACAGAUCAUUCCCCUACUGAAAGGCAGUAAGUUGAAAUCACUGUUUGCUAGCAGAGCAAGACUUCCAUACCCUGGAACAUGUUUUCUUAUGCACAGGUUGAAGACUUUCCCUGGGGCAUAUACUAAUACCCCAAAGUGGAGGCUGGUUGCUGGCUCUGGGGCAAGAGCAUCUUUAAUGAGAAUGGAUAGUGCCAGAGGACUCCUUGAGUGGUUCUACUAAUUCACAUGUCUGCCCUGAAAAUGAAGAAUUUUAAUUGGCCAGAGCCUCACCCCACUCCACUAUAUAAGUCCCUGGGGACUCUACACUCUUCACUUUGUCUGUAGGAGAACAAGUUCACUGACUACAGACUGUGAGGAAAAGCACAUGCUGCUGUAGAAACAGUAAUUCUGUAACUCUUGAUGGGUUUCAUUCCACAAUAGAAUUUUUGCAGGCUUUUUGGGCAGAUAUGUAUUAGGUAAAUGCGUGGCUUUAAAAAGCCACUUGGGAUCCACUUUCUUGGUAGAAGAUUUGAACUUCUGUCUCUCAUAGAUUAGAGAGCAAGCUAAUCAGGAAGGAUAGAGAAUAUUUGAGCAAUGCAAGAAGCUUGGCAUAUAUGUAAAAUGUGGUCAUACUCAUUUUCAAGCACAAAUGUCAACUUUAUAAAUAUCUGCCACAUACUAGGCCACACAGCAAAUUUCAGUCAAUACCCAGACAUGGAAGACUCUGUAAACACUGUGCUAUGAAAGCAGAAAACUGAAUAAAAGGACAAGCCGAACACCACCAUCUGCAUAGAAACCGUGUGUGUGAUGAAAGAAUCAUGGUUGAAGAAGACACAAUCAUGGCAAUUUCAAAAUAUGCCUGAGUGACAGUAAAAACUUUACAUAGAACCCACAGGAUGCAAGCCAGGUGGACUUGUGGGCACAUUUUAAAUGUUAAGAUGCUUAACAUAGAAAAGAAGAAAAAGAUGGUCAUUGUAGAGCUAAAUUAUCCACCUAUAGGAAUAAGAAAAGGAACAAACUCAAAGGAGAAAGAACAUAAACAUGAACAAGAAACACAGAUAUCUGGAGAUGGUUUUUCCUUUCUUUUUAAGCUUAUUUAUUAAGUUUUGAGAGAGAGAGAGCACAAUCGGGGGAGGGCAGAGAGACAGGGAGACACAUAAUCCAAAGCCGGCUCCAGGUUCUGAGCUGUCAGCACAGAGCCCAACACGGGGCUUAAACUCACUAACAGCAAGAUCAUGACCUGAGCUGAAGUCAGACACUUAACCGACUAGGCCACCUAGGUGCCUUGGAAGUAUUCUUCUCUUAAAACUUUUUAUUUUGUGGAGGAGUUUGUUGAGGAUUAUCUUUAACUUGAAGAUUUGUUAAAUCUCACCCAUAAAGACAUCAGGGCCUGGUACUGUUUUUUUGAUGGAGGGAAAUUAGUGAUUCACAUUUUAAUUUUUUAGUUAUUGCUCUAUUCAUAUUAUGCCUUUGUUCUGAGGUGAGGUUUGGUGAUUUACAUUUAUCUAGAUAAUUGUUCAUUUCAUCUAUAUGUGAAAAUACACUGGCCUAGCUUUUGUGGUAGUCUCUGAUAAACUUUUCUUGUAUAUCCCUGAUAAGUCUUUCAAGAUUUUGUCAGUAUAUCAAUCGAGCCCUUUCUCUCUGUCUCUAGCAUCUGCUAGGUAGUAUGCGAUCACUCCCAGCCUGUCUUCAGUAAGAACCCUGUUAGGUCAGCUUAGCAGGAAUUACUCUAAUUCUUGGUAAUUUUCCAUCCACUGACUGCCCCACCGUGCUCUUGCUUAUAAAUCACCACUCUUCUUGUUGACUUGGAGUUGAGUCCAAUCUGUCUCUCAUACUGCAAACCCACUGUUGCAGUCAGCCUCAAUGAAGUGUGCCUUAUUGUCUGUAAUGAGUGUCAGAAUAGUUUUUCAAUAGCACGUGGAAAGGAGUAAUUACAAUAUGGUUGAUGAGGCAAGACGAAAGUACAUAACGGGCUGUGGGGUUAUGAUGGAAUCAAUUGGGGCUUGUGAAGUUUCAGGAAUUUGAAAAUAUUAAGACAAUUGAAGAGAUAGUGUUUAGGAUGAAUUAAAAGACUGGAGAAAUAACAGGUGUGGGAAACAGAGAAAUUAGCCCACUUUUAUGGGCAGGGCAUGGAAGGACCUCCUAGAACAAGUGUCCAGAAGAGCUUAGCUGUCUGAUAGGCAUUUCAGUAUUUCACGUCCACAAUGAAGCCUUGAGUUUUUUCCUUUCCUUCAUGGUUUUGCCAAAAAUACUACCUCAGUUUCUCAGACCAUAAAAUCGUGCCACUAUCCCCUGUGUGUUGAACAAGGCAAAAGCUUGAAAAGGAGCAGUGCAGGCUUCCAAUCCGGACACACUUUUCAAGUGUGUUUGGGGCGACGCAGUGCUGGAGAUGGAUGCCUUUCCAGCACUUUCUAGCAUGUGGCCUGAGGGUGUGUCCUGGGAGUUCUGAUGGCUGGACUCAGGAAACCCGUCAGUGGGGAUACUUUCAAGGAGAGCAAGGGCUGUAAGAAAGUGUAAAAGUAAUGAUCAUUUACAUAAAAAAUGAGAGUUCCAGCUGACGAAGUACAGUGGGUGUUCCUCAUAAUCUUCAGUGUUGGAGAAAUAGGACAAUUCAUACAUUCUUUCAGUGUUGAAAUGAAGUAGUUGACAGGAAAAUCCAAAUCUUUAAACUUAAUUUCAGAUGAGACCAGCUGAGCGUCAUCGUCACAAAGAAGGCAGCUGACAGUCCACUUCCAAUGUGACUCUUUUCUCCAGAUGAUACUUCCGUGUGACCCAAGCCAGUGAGGUCCCCAGAACCCCAGACUGAAUUCCAUAUUAUGUGACAGAACGUCUUACACUUGGACUCAGAGACUCAGGUGGGUACCUGCAGGUCCACGUGUUAGAAAUCUGACCCCAAUGAGUUUGCUGGUCACUAGAGAUACCUGAGGGUGUUCCUAGACCCAGCACUGCCCCGUUCCCCUUCCCUUUCUGUCAGUGCACGACCUGCACUGUGACACCGAGGGCUCCUAAGGCAUGGUUGGUCACAGGGCUCUGAGGAUGAACAUCCACAGAUGCCGUGAGACAGAAGCUGCGUGCUGGCAGGUGCAUACUCCCGGACUCUCCCAGAUCACCUGGGACAUAUGUCAGUGGUUUGCGUUCUUGUACAUGGUCCCCUGGUGUCUGAGGGGAGAAGGGAGGAUGAGGCUUUCCAAUAAUGGGGUAUUUGCUCCUGCCAGUAACCUGGUGGUGGUGGAUUUUGAGUUGUGUUUUUCCUUCUUCUCUAGUAUAUUCAAGCUGCAUGAGGAAUCGAAACAAAAGAUACUCAGGAGAAGAUGUAGUCUGGAUUAUUAUGUUAUUCUACUUGGGCCUGUAAAGCACAGACAUGCAAGUGAUCCCAACUGAACACAGAAAACAGAGAAGACGGAAGGAUGCAAAUGGUUAAUAGUGACCCGAGCGGUGACUCUCCGACUCCUUAGCUGCAACGUACAGGACAGCACUGGCAGGGCACCAGCAGGGCGUCCAGGAAACAGCGUCCCAGGCUGUGGCUCAGGAAGGGGCUGCUCCAGGUGGGACCCCGCUCCACUCCGUGUGCUCUGUGUGCUGUCCCACCGCCCACCCAAAUCCAUCCUAACCGAGUCUGAAGACCUCCCAGCCCAGGCCAAAGCCGUGAGGAUCGCGUCCUGCUGGCCUCUCAACGAAGCUGGGACCCAGCGGAACCAGUGCCCGCAGGCCCUCUCGUCCGUCUGAUCUGCACGCAUAAUUCAAUCGUUCACUUCCGGUCUUCGCACAGGCUCAGCCUGCACGCGACUCCUCCUGAUACAGGCCUUGCCCUCCACUGGCUGCUGAAGCAAGGAUCCUGAGAGUCACUAUUGAAUCUUUCAGCUCCUCCCUGCCCCAUGUGGAAACCGUCACCAAAGCCUCCAUAGGUCCCCCACCUGCCCCGAUAUUUCUCAUAUUUCUCUAUCACCUGCUUGUGCCCUACAACCACGUGUCCACACUGUCCUUUCCUGUGUGGACCUGGCUGGAUCUAACCGGGCUUCCGAGGGGAUUAGGUUUCUAUGGUUGCUGUAACAAAUUACCACACGCUUAAUGGCUUGAAAACAAGACAACUUGUUAAUCCUGGGGUGCCUGGGUGUCUCAGUCAGUCGAGCGUCCAACUUUGGCUCAGGGCAUGAUCUCGCGAUUCAUGGGUUCGACCCCGCAUUGGCUCUGUGCUGACAGCUCAGAGUCUGGAGCCUGCUUUAGAUUCUGGGUCUCCCUCCCUCUCUGCCCUUCCCUUGCUCAUUCUCUCUCUCUCUCUCUCUCUCUCUCUGUCAAAAAUAACAAUUAAAAUAUUAAAAAGGAAAAUGCUUAAAGAAAAACAAUUUGUUAAUCUUAGAGUCUUAGGUUACAGUCAGAUUAGAAGCCUGACACAAAUAUCUCCCCCAAUAUAAUCUCGCUAUUUAAGGUCUAGCCUAUUAACAGCUUUAAUUCCCUGUUGCUAUGCCCAGUCCCAUGUUCACAGGCUUAGGAGCAGGGUGUGAAUAUCUUUGGGGGUCACACUAUUGCCUACCACACUCAGUUUCCACCAUCUCCUCUCUCUGAGGCCUUCUCCACCCGGCAAGCACAGCCAUACCCCCA
This 25256-nucleotide long non-coding RNA is filed under the name Lynx pardinus (Iberian lynx). The record is from RNAcentral. Lineage: Eukaryota; Metazoa; Chordata; Mammalia; Carnivora; Felidae.